GCUUAGGGUUUUUGAAUCAUGAAACCCUAAAUGCAUUCCUUCGCUAUAUAUAGGGAGAGGACUUCAGAGUUGCCUGAAGCUGUUCCUGCCUUCUCCUGGUAGAAUUUUCAACUUCUGGACAGUUGAUAAGAAGAGAGGAAUGCUGAAACUCCGGGACCGUAAUGCACAUAUCAUUACUCUGAA
Molecule: long non-coding RNA, 183 nt
Organism: Sesamum indicum (sesame)
Lineage: Eukaryota; Viridiplantae; Streptophyta; Magnoliopsida; Lamiales; Pedaliaceae
Source: RefSeq, a predicted model, not a curated record